Molecule: long non-coding RNA, 521 nt
Organism: Vitis vinifera (wine grape)
Lineage: Eukaryota; Viridiplantae; Streptophyta; Magnoliopsida; Vitales; Vitaceae
Exons: 2
Source: RefSeq, a predicted model, not a curated record
UAGACAUACGUGUAUAUGUCAUGAAGUUAGUAGCUCCCUAACAUUUGUAUGAGGGGAAAAUUCAAAAGUUGAGGUGCUUCAUACUGUGUUCUGUCUGAGGAGUUUUGCAUGAAGAAGUAAAGUGAGUGGAAUAGAGCCAAGGAUGACUUGCCGGCAACUGCAGCAAGGCAUAGGGUUUAACUGGUCAUAACUGGCAAGCAUCUGAGGCUCUAUUUCACCCUCUCUUCUUCUCAUGCUAAGCUAUGUAGACUGUCAUUCUACCAAAAAGAUCCCGCUAGCGAAGCUGGCAGCAAGGUAUCAAGGAAGACUCACCUUCGAAUCACUCAAUCAGGGGACAUGCAUGUUCAGACUCUCUUAAUGUUGCUAAUCAUGGAAUUAAUUGACAGCAGCAAGUCACUCUAAUCUAAGCAAUUCAAUAGAAACUUGCUAAUAAAUUUUCUUUUCCAUUCCUCCGGAACCUUUGUUUGCUUCAUUACCUCUGGAAUUUAUGAAGUACUGCAAUAAGUAUAGAUUAUAAAGGA